Molecule: ribosomal RNA, 253 nt
Filed under: uncultured bacterium
Lineage: Bacteria
Description: partial 16S ribosomal RNA
Rfam family: Bacterial small subunit ribosomal RNA
Source: RNAcentral
UACGGAGGAUGCAAGCGUUAUCCGGAAUGAUUGGGCGUAAAGCGUCCGCAGGUGGCUGUGUAAGUCUGCUGUCAAAGAGCGAAGCUCAACUUCGUAAAGGCAGUGGAAACUACACGGCUAGAGUGCGUUCGGGGCAGAGGGAAUUCCUGGUGUAGCGGUGAAAUGCGUAGAUAUCUGGAGGAACACCGGUGGCGAAGGCGGCAUCCUGGACCGGCAUUGACGCUGAGGAGCGAAAGCCAGGGGAGCAAACGGG